Molecule: non-coding RNA, 86 nt
Filed under: Desulforamulus aeronauticus
Lineage: Bacteria; Bacillati; Bacillota; Clostridia; Eubacteriales; Peptococcaceae
Also listed under: 1 other name
Description: Desulfotomaculum aeronauticum c-di-GMP sequence
Rfam family: c-di-GMP-I riboswitch aptamer
About the family: GEMM was predicted in a large-scale screen for bacterial structured RNA regulatory elements.
Source: RNAcentral
GAAUACGAUGGGCAAACCAACCGAAAGGUUGGGACGCAAAGCCAUGGGUCUAACGCAUGUCACGCUAUGAUUGCCAGGCUACGGAG